This 347-nucleotide ribosomal RNA is filed under the name uncultured bacterium. Its description in RNAcentral is "partial 16S ribosomal RNA". It matches the Rfam family "Bacterial small subunit ribosomal RNA", at positions 338 to 700 of the family's 1533-position model. The record is from RNAcentral.
CCUACGGGAGGCAGCAGUGGGGAAUAUUGGGCAAUGGACGCAAGUCUGACCCAGCAACGCCGCGUGAAGGAAGAAGGCUUUCGGGUUGUAAACUUCUUUGAAGGGGGAAGAGCAGAAGACGGGACCCCUGGAAUAAGCCACGGCUAACGACGUGCCAGCAGCCGCGGUAAUACGUAGGGGGCAAGCGGUGUCCGGAUUUACUGGGUGUAAAGGGCGGGCAGCCGGCGAGACAAGUCAGAUGUGAAAUCCACGGGCUCAACCCGUGAACGGCAUUUGAAACUGUUUCCCUUGAGUGUCGGAGCGGUAAUCGGCAUUCCUUGUGUAGCGGUGCACUGCGUAGCUCUACG